AACGUAGGUGGCAAGCGUUGCUCGGAAUUACUGGGCGUAAAGGGCGCGUAGGCGGGAUGGCAAGUCGGUCGUGAAAUCCCUCGGCUCAACCGAGGAACGUCGAUCGAUACUGCUGUUCUUGAGGAUUGCAGAGGAGACUGGAAUUCCCGGUGUAGCGGUGAAAUGUGUAGAGAUCGGGAGGAACACCGGUGGCGAAGGCGGGUCUCUGGGCAAUUCCUGACGCUGAGGCGCGAAAGCGUGGGGAGCAAACGGG
RNAcentral lists this ribosomal RNA (253 nucleotides) under uncultured bacterium. RNAcentral describes it as "partial 16S ribosomal RNA". It matches the Rfam family "Bacterial small subunit ribosomal RNA", at positions 524 to 776 of the family's 1533-position model. The record is from RNAcentral.